Molecule: ribosomal RNA, 1048 nt
Filed under: Staphylococcus aureus
Lineage: Bacteria; Bacillati; Bacillota; Bacilli; Caryophanales; Staphylococcaceae
Description: partial 23S ribosomal RNA
Rfam family: Bacterial large subunit ribosomal RNA
Source: RNAcentral
GAUUAAGUUAUUAAGGGCGCACGGUGGAUGCCUUGGCACUAGAAGCCGAUGAAGGACGUUACUAACGACGACAUGCUUUGGGGAGCUGUAAGUAAGCUUUGAUCCAGAGAUUUCCGAAUGGGGAAACCCAGCAUGAGUUAUGUCAUGUUAUCGAUAUGUGAAUACAUAGCAUAUCAGAAGGCACACCCGGAGAACUGAAACAUCUUAGUACCCGGAGGAAGAGAAAGAAAAUUCGAUUCCCUUAGUAGCGGCGAGCGAAACGGGAAGAGCCCAAACCAACAAGCUUGCUUGUUGGGGUUGUAGGACACUCUAUACGGAGUUACAAAGGACGACAUUAGACGAAUCAUCUGGAAAGAUGAAUCAAAGAAGGUAAUAAUCCUGUAGUCGAAAAUGUUGUCUCUCUUGAGUGGAUCCUGAGUACGACGGAGCACGUGAAAUUCCGUCGGAAUCUGGGAGGACCAUCUCCUAAGGCUAAAUACUCUCUAGUGACCGAUAGUGAACCAGUACCGUGAGGGAAAGGUGAAAAGCACCCCGGAAGGGGAGUGAAAUAGAACCUGAAACCGUGUGCUUACAAGUAGUCAGAGCCCGUUAAUGGGUGAUGGCGUGCCUUUUGUAGAAUGAACCGGCGAGUUACGAUUUGAUGCAAGGUUAAGCAGUAAAUGUGGAGCCGUAGCGAAAGCGAGUCUGAAUAGGGCGUUUAGUAUUUGGUCGUAGACCCGAAACCAGGUGAUCUACCCUUGGUCAGGUUGAAGUUCAGGUAACACUGAAUGGAGGACCGAACCGACUUACGUUGAAAAGUGAGCGGAUGAACUGAGGGUAGCGGAGAAAUUCCAAUCGAACCUGGAGAUAGCUGGUUCUCUCCGAAAUAGCUUUAGGGCUAGCCUCAAGUGAUGAUUAUUGGAGGUAGAGCACUGUUUGGACGAGGGGCCCCUCUCGGGUUACCGAAUUCAGACAAACUCCGAAUGCCAAUUAAUUUAACUUGGGAGUCAGAACAUGGGUGAUAAGGUCCGUGUUCGAAAGGGAAACAGCCCAGACCACCAGCUAAGGU